AUUCUUUAUUUGGCCUUUUUACUUUUUUUUUUAUUCAAGCGUAACUGAUGAGUCUUUGAAGACAAAACAUGUGUCUGGCGUAUAAAAUGUAAUUCCUGGUCUCUAUGAUGAGUUUAUGGACAAACUUCAAUUUAUUACUUGAUUUUUUUCCUAUGUGAGGAGUGCCUGAUACUCGAAGUGAUUGAAUGAAAAAUAUAAUAAAAUGUACAAAAAUAUAAAAUUAAGUAUUUAAUAGUGUUAACUUAUUAAAAGUUUAUUUAUAAUUGUACAUAUGUAUAUGUAUAUGAGUCCUGUUGUAUAUUUGAUUAUUGAUGUAUAUUUCACCGUACAUAUCUCAUUCAAAGGUUGUGAAUAUUAUUUAAGGAUUGUUUGAACUGUAAUAUUGAUAUAUAUGGCCUCUUACCAAAAUGUAAAUAAUCCUCAAUUUAUAUAAUUUAUGCUAGA
This 444-nucleotide long non-coding RNA is filed under the name Mytilus galloprovincialis (Mediterranean mussel). The record is from RNAcentral. Lineage: Eukaryota; Metazoa; Mollusca; Bivalvia; Mytilida; Mytilidae.